Molecule: ribosomal RNA, 1426 nt
Filed under: Mammaliicoccus sciuri
Lineage: Bacteria; Bacillati; Bacillota; Bacilli; Caryophanales; Staphylococcaceae
Description: bacterial SSU rRNA
Rfam family: Bacterial small subunit ribosomal RNA
Source: RNAcentral
UGCAAGUCGAGCGAACAGAUGAGAAGCUUGCUUCUCUGAUGUUAGCGGCGGACGGGUGAGUAACACGUGGGUAACCUACCUAUAAGACUGGGAUAACUCCGGGAAACCGGGGCUAAUACCGGAUAAUAUUUUGAACCGCAUGGUUCAAUAGUGAAAGACGGUUUCGGCUGUCACUUAUAGAUGGACCCGCGCCGUAUUAGCUAGUUGGUAAGGUAACGGCUUACCAAGGCGACGAUACGUAGCCGACCUGAGAGGGUGAUCGGCCACACUGGAACUGAGACACGGUCCAGACUCCUACGGGAGGCAGCAGUAGGGAAUCUUCCGCAAUGGGCGAAAGCCUGACGGAGCAACGCCGCGUGAGUGAUGAAGGUCUUCGGAUCGUAAAACUCUGUUGUUAGGGAAGAACAAAUUUGUUAGUAACUGAACAAGUCUUGACGGUACCUAACCAGAAAGCCACGGCUAACUACGUGCCAGCAGCCGCGGUAAUACGUAGGUGGCAAGCGUUAUCCGGAAUUAUUGGGCGUAAAGCGCGCGUAGGCGGUUUCUUAAGUCUGAUGUGAAAGCCCACGGCUCAACCGUGGAGGGUCAUUGGAAACUGGGAAACUUGAGUGCAGAAGAGGAGAGUGGAAUUCCAUGUGUAGCGGUGAAAUGCGCAGAGAUAUGGAGGAACACCAGUGGCGAAGGCGGCUCUCUGGUCUGUAACUGACGCUGAUGUGCGAAAGCGUGGGGAUCAAACAGGAUUAGAUACCCUGGUAGUCCACGCCGUAAACGAUGAGUGCUAAGUGUUAGGGGGUUUCCGCCCCUUAGUGCUGCAGCUAACGCAUUAAGCACUCCGCCUGGGGAGUACGACCGCAAGGUUGAAACUCAAAGGAAUUGACGGGGACCCGCACAAGCGGUGGAGCAUGUGGUUUAAUUCGAAGCAACGCGAAGAACCUUACCAAAUCUUGACAUCCUUUGACCGCUCUAGAGAUAGAGUCUUCCCCUUCGGGGGACAAAGUGACAGGUGGUGCAUGGUUGUCGUCAGCUCGUGUCGUGAGAUGUUGGGUUAAGUCCCGCAACGAGCGCAACCCUUAAGCUUAGUUGCCAUCAUUAAGUUGGGCACUCUAGGUUGACUGCCGGUGACAAACCGGAGGAAGGUGGGGAUGACGUCAAAUCAUCAUGCCCCUUAUGAUUUGGGCUACACACGUGCUACAAUGGAUAAUACAAAGGGCAGCGAAUCCGCGAGGCCAAGCAAAUCCCAUAAAAUUAUUCUCAGUUCGGAUUGUAGUCUGCAACUCGACUACAUGAAGCUGGAAUCGCUAGUAAUCGUAGAUCAGCAUGCUACGGUGAAUACGUUCCCGGGUCUUGUACACACCGCCCGUCACACCACGAGAGUUUGUAACACCCGAAGCCGGUGGAGUAACCUUUUAGGAGCUAGCCGUCGAAG